GCUGCCGGGGGCUGACGGAGGGAAAGCUGGCGGCGGCGCAUGCGCGUUGGCAGGCUCGCUGUAUUCACGAAUCCGUACCCGUCCUUGUAAACGGGCGGCGGAGGCGGAAUGGGGUGCGGGGUGGCGUGCGCGUGAGGCCGAGGCGGAGCUGAGCCGCCCUGCAGGCAAGCGGAAACCCGGGGGUGAGCAUCGCACCUCCCAGUGACGGAUACCAAGCUCCCUGCACCCCAUGUACUCCCAGAUGGUUGCAUGCUGUGAAACACACAUGAUAGUCUGUGCUGCUUGUCUAGCACCAAUGGGGAUGACUGUGGUGCUACAUAUUACUGUCUUGUCUUUUUCAUCCACUUCUCCUUUAAUGCCUUGAAGUGGAAAUGAUUAUUAAACAAAACUACCAUCAUGCUCUUCAUAUUGUAUAUGGUGUGUUUGGAAUGUACCUAGUAUGCCCUACACAAUACCAGCAACUAAUAGUAAUUUGUUGUUACAGCUGUGCAUGGUUUCUAUGUAAGUAAAAAGGUAGACCCUGUCCCAAAGUGUUUGUUAUCCAUUAAAGCAAAAUGCAAUGAAAGGGGUAACAGAACACAGGGGAAUGUGCAUUAGGUCAAAGAACAUCUUGUUCUGGAAACACUGAGGUUUGUGGUCAUUCUGAGGAGUUCCACAGUCCUGGGUAGUUUGCUUAGAAAUCUCUUCCUCCUGCACAAAUAAAUCCUUUUUUUUUUUUUUUUUUUGAGAUUGACAAAUUCCAUUGUUGCAAUGGAACAAAGUGGACCUGCUCACAUAGAGUGCACGUAAUGAUUAAUCAUAUGUAGCACCUUUUAUCCCAAACACUCAUGAUCCACUUCAAACAAUAUAUGUUUAGCGUCACUAAAAUGCAUCUGCCAAUAAGCUUGAAGGUGGCAGUCAGGUGGCAUGUUGUAUGAUGUAGAAAAACAAGGAGGAGAAAUUAUUAGAGCGUUGGGAGUCAAUCUCUACUCUUACAAAAAUGUUAUGGGAUCUUAAUAAUCAUACAGACAUGGAUACAGCCUUUAUUGCAUGAUGCAGUUCAACUUUUUUAAUGUUUAUACUGACUUCUAGUGUAGUAAUAAUAUAUAAAUCAGUAUUAUUUAGUAUUUGUAGUGCUUAGGGGCCAGAGUUAUAGACCACGACUUCAUUGUGCUAGGUGCUGUACAGACACAUAACAAAAAGACAGUUUCUGCUCCAGGUGGCUUACAGUCCAAGAAUGAGACAAGAGAGGAUAGAUGGAUAUAGACAGAUGGGGGAGUACAAGUAAAUAAUGAGACAUUAUUGGUCAGCAUGGUAGGCAGUAGUCUGUGCACACUAGCAGCCUAACCAUUAUCAUGUUUUCUGUAAGCAUCACAGCAAAAGGGAGGGAUUCUGAGGAGGGAUUUGAAGGUGAAUAGUGAGGUAGUUUUGCAGAUGUUUAGAAGGAGUGCCUUCCAAGUGUUUAGGGCAGCAUGAGAGAAAUAGUAUACUGGAAAAAACACACAUUUCAGAUAUUUGAGUCCGAAAGUAUGACAACUUAGUGUGGCUCUGGGUUCAGUUUCCAGUUUUGCCAAAGACUUCCUGUGUUGCCUGAAAAAGUAACUUAACCUUUCUUUGCCACAGUUCACUAUUUCUAAAAUGGGAAUAAUAAAACUUCCUUUCUCCCACACUUUGACUUGUCUAUUUAGAUUGUAAGAUUUUUGAACUUGUCUCGCUCUACACACAGUUUUUGUGCUAGUAUAACUUUCAAUUAGGGAUAUAAUAUUAUGUUUUUUAAACAAAUGGUUAAAAUAGUAUGUCCCCUAAUGUGGACCCUUUUCUUGGUAUAAAGGUGCCUUCUGUCAUUGUAACUUAUUCCCCUUCCUGUAUGGGAAUAGCUAAACUGUUGUAAAGCACCUUUAUACUGAAAUAAUUGGGUCCACACUUGAUGGGUUAUGCUACUCUCACUGUACCAAUGUAGUUAAACCAGUACAACUUUUGUGUUUAAAAUCCUUGUGUGUGUGUGUGCUGCAUCUGGCACAUUGGGACUCUGAUAUCCGUUGGGGCUCGUAAGCACUACACUAAUACAACUCUAAUUUUUGUUAUAUAUUAUUUGUAUUGCUCUUAGCAAAAAUUAAUGGUAGUCUGCCAAAUAAAAAUACUUGAUAGGCUGAA
Chelonoidis abingdonii (Abingdon island giant tortoise) is the source of this 2133-nucleotide non-coding RNA. NCBI's taxonomy places the organism in Eukaryota, Metazoa, Chordata, Testudines, Testudinidae. The record is from RefSeq and is a predicted model, not a curated record.